RNAcentral lists this long non-coding RNA (980 nucleotides) under Mustela putorius furo (domestic ferret). RNAcentral's name for it is "lncRNA (ENSMPUG00000029179.1)". Lineage: Eukaryota; Metazoa; Chordata; Mammalia; Carnivora; Mustelidae. The record is from RNAcentral.
GAUGGUAGAGAAGGAAGGGUGAUCGGAAGUCCUAUGGGGAUGUGUUCAGGAGCAGGAACUUCAGAGAAAACACUUUUUUUUUUUCUUUUAAGGAAAAUUUCGAACUACAGAAAAGUGAGGGGACUCGCACAACGACCCCAUUACCUGUUCCCGGCCUCCUCCGUCAGCAGCAUGGAGUCCCUCAUGUGUGAGGGGGUUUGAGAUAUGUGCUGCAGGGAAGCGAUGAGCCCCAGCUUCCCUGGGAACCUCCUGUAAGGCCCACAUGGUUCACCAGGGAUUCCGUGACACCAGAUCCUUGGCUGGACCACAGAGCUGCAGCGCCAAGCUCUUGGGGUAAAAUGUGAUUUGACAGGACAGCCGAGAGCUGUGACACAGGACUUUAGUAUUAAGGGGAAACAAAAGUCAUGUUUAAAAAGAAAUCGCCACUUAUUUGUACUAAUCCCUCCAUGACUGGUCUGCUUGGUUCUCAUGUCUGGGGCGGGGCCUUGGGACUUACCCCCUGAUAGGAUCAAGGAGGUGAAUGACUAGUCUGGGAACACCCAGAGAGGGGCAGCUGGGCAGGAAGUCCUCAUUUUCCUCGUUGUGUUCUUCUGUUGUUCUUUUGUUCCUCCGAAGACGAAAAUUCACAGAGCACCUCCUACGUGCCGGGGACUGUGUUCUAAGUCUUGGGUUCGCACGAUCUAGCGCAGGCCAUGAUAAUAAACACUUUUGUGCAUUUGCCCGGACUCCCUUGGAUCCAGACCCAAACUGGCGGCCCUGAUUGGCGCUGAUUAGGUAACUGUGCUCAGACCUCCUGGGAGGAGCUUCUGCCCCAGGCUAUAUCAAUUGGCUGCUGGCCAGCCUAUCUCUUGGCAAACUUUGGGUCAGGUGACUUCUCAUGCUCCAAUCAGCUGUUGAGGCAGUUGUGGAGGUGGGCACAAAAUAGAAGGUCCACACUAGGAGGGCAAUCUUAGUACAAGAGCGUGGCAUAUUGGCUAAGG